Salvelinus namaycush (lake trout) is the source of this 818-nucleotide long non-coding RNA. RefSeq lists it as uncharacterized. NCBI's taxonomy places the organism in Eukaryota, Metazoa, Chordata, Actinopteri, Salmoniformes, Salmonidae. The record is from RefSeq and is a predicted model, not a curated record. The transcript is spliced from 4 exons.
CAGAUCCCCUGAAGGGAGUAAUAAAGGUUUCCUGUUCCUGUGGAACCAGAAGAAGGAGGGGUUGAGGUCAGGAGGUCAGAUCCCCUGAAGGGAGUAAUAAAGGUUUCCUGUUCCUGUGGAACCAGAAGAUUUCUCCAAGAUCCUUGUUUUCUUCAACACAGUUGACCAAAGCUCUGCUUGGAUACAAGACUGAUGACUCAAUAACCAGCGUUGACAACAGUGGAGAUGAUUAUGUACCAGGGCAUCAGGAUCAUCAGAGGAAGACAAUUCCUAUGAAGAACAUCUGACAGGAGAGAAGAUUGGGCCAAACAGCCAAUGACCAAGGGAAAGCUGGGACAAGAGAGAGGCUCACACGUUUAGCAUGUUUCCUGCUGCCUUCAGUGCCAAAGGAACAACAAGGUUUUGGUCGACAAUAGAGGUGGAUGCAGUUGAAGAUUCCUUGAUGAAUUUUAUCCGACUGGGAAAAACGCCUGGAAAACAAGACUGUGAGAAAUGCAUUGCUGCUUCUCCCCAAGCGCUAGUAAACAGGGACUGGAGAGCAGUACAGUUAUAUUUAUUACAGGUCUAUGUAGACAACAGAAUAGUACAGUUCUAUUUAGUACAGAAAAAUAAAAAACAUUUUUCUGUACUAUUAAUCUGUUACUUGAAUAUAUUGAAUCCAUUACUGGAUUGGUUGUUCCAGUUUAAAUACUUUACAGAAGAAUUACACUACAGAAUAAUUACACUACAGUAGAACUACACAACAGUAGAACUACACUACAGUAGAACUACACUACAGAAUAACUACACUACAGUAGAACUACACUACAGUAGAACUA